RNAcentral lists this ribosomal RNA (411 nucleotides) under Mycobacterium sp. 4BR14. Its description in RNAcentral is "bacterial SSU rRNA". It matches the Rfam family "Bacterial small subunit ribosomal RNA", at positions 1 to 424 of the family's 1533-position model. Lineage: Bacteria; Bacillati; Actinomycetota; Actinomycetes; Mycobacteriales; Mycobacteriaceae. The record is from RNAcentral.
UGAGAUUUGAUCCUGGCUCAGGACGAACGCUGGCGGCGUGCUUAACACAUGCAAGUCGAACGGAAAGGCCCUUCGGGGUGCUCGAGUGGCGAACGGGUGAGUAACACGUGGGUGAUCUGCCCUGCACUUUGGGAUAAGCCUGGGAAACUGGGUCUAAUACCGAAUAUGACCGCAUGCUUCAUGGUGUGUGGUGGAAAGCUUUUGCGGUGUGGGAUGGGCCCGCGGCCUAUCAGCUUGUUGGUGGGGUAAUGGCCUACCAAGGCGACGACGGGUAGCCGGCCUGAGAGGGUGACCGGCCACACUGGGACUGAGAUACGGCCCAGACUCCUACGGGAGGCAGCAGUGGGGAAUAUUGCACAAUGGGCGCAAGCCUGAUGCAGCGACGCCGCGUGGGGGAUGACGGCCUUCGCC